CUUGCCUUGCUCCUUUUCCAUGUCAUUUGGGAACUGAAGGCUGGCCAAAAAUGAUGCUGUCACUUCAGUUGUUUCAUGUAACCACAGCACUCACCCUGUUGCUGGUGACAUGCUACGCUGAAAAAGAGUGCGUAGGAAUUUGUGGGAAAGCAAACUAAGGAACAAAAGGCUUGCCACUGUCUUUUGGCACCAAAUUACAAGAAACACUUCAGA
This is a long non-coding RNA of Gavialis gangeticus (Gharial), 213 nucleotides long. RefSeq lists it as uncharacterized. The record is from RefSeq and is a predicted model, not a curated record. The transcript has 3 exons. NCBI's taxonomy places the organism in Eukaryota, Metazoa, Chordata, Crocodylia, Gavialidae.